AGCAGUGUCAACAGGCCUGCAGCCUGCUCUCCAGUCAUCUUCCUCGCAGCGAGCAGUGGCACAGAGCUACGGCGGCAGAUAGGCAUAGCCGUCUUCCUCAGCCUGAGAUCUGCGUUCUAACGUGGUGAACCGGUGCCUCUAUUGCAACCCGACGACGAGCAGCGGCCGUAGCGCUCGGCGAGGCGUAGAAGGUCCGGUGCUGCUGCCCGUCAUGGAGUUCGCCGACGAGUGGCUUCAGCGGCGUCCAUCCCCCGUCCCGCAUUGUUUGCAUUAGCAGGUGUAACCUCGCGGAUCCAACUUGACUGGAUCCGUGGCCACCGGAUCCAUCGCUGCCGCUGGGAUGUGGAGAGGCAGCUGGUGUUCUUUUUCCUUUCUCGAUUCAAUUUCUGCUAGCGAUUCAUGCAUUUGCACCUUCCCUUUUGAGGUUAUUGCGCCUGAUGCUUCUGAUUUGACAGGCGGGUAGGCAACUCGCAAAUCUCAGCAUCAAGGGCAGAACCGUGCUUGGCCCUCGAGCCCUCCACUUCCGCCUCGAUGGUUGAAUGUAGCGAUUAGACUUCGAGGUGCACCUCGCGAGCUUUAUCUGCAGGACGCCAUCCAUGCCGAGGGCUCUCGGUCAGCAACAAGCGGCAAUCUAAUAGGCCAUGAGGGGCUUAAGAAAUAUUUUGCUCUCAGUCAGCAACAAGCAGCAAUCCAGCAAGGCAUCAAGGGCAAGAAAGUACAAGGCUGCAUCUUGUUAUAUUUUGCUGAACAUGUCUUUCGUAGUUUCUGUUGCUUGAGUGGCUUAAAUGCCAUGUUACUCUAGAGAAUUAUGAACUAGAUUUGAAAUAUUGUUCUGGUGAUGGUAACUUGGAUGAUAUUUUUUUUGUCUUGUGGGCUGAAUUGAUCAUUUUAUAAAUAGGUUAAAUUUUCCA
Long non-coding RNA from Panicum virgatum (switchgrass), 911 nucleotides. RefSeq lists it as uncharacterized. NCBI's taxonomy places the organism in Eukaryota, Viridiplantae, Streptophyta, Magnoliopsida, Poales, Poaceae. The transcript is spliced from 2 exons. The record is from RefSeq and is a predicted model, not a curated record.